This 490-nucleotide ribosomal RNA is filed under the name uncultured bacterium. Its description in RNAcentral is "partial 16S ribosomal RNA". It matches the Rfam family "Bacterial small subunit ribosomal RNA", at positions 29 to 507 of the family's 1533-position model. The record is from RNAcentral.
AGUGAACGCUGGCGGUAGGCCUAACACAUGCAAGUCGAACGGCAGCACAGGAGAGCUUGCUCUCUAGGUGGCGAGUGGCGGACGGGUGAGGAAUACAUCGGAAUCUGCCCAGUCGUGGGGGAUAACGUAGGGAAACUUACGCUAAUACCGCAUACGACCUUCGGGUGAAAGAGGGGGAUCGCAAGACCUCUCGCGAUUGGAUGAGCCGAUGUCGGAUUAGCUAGUUAGCGGGGUAAUGGCCCACCAAGGCGACGAUCCGUAGCUGGUCUGAGAGGAUGAUCAGCCACACUGGAACUGAGACACGGUCCAGACUCCUACGGGAGGCAGCAGUGGGGAAUAUUGGACAAUGGGCGCAAGCCUGAUCCAGCCAUACCGCGUCGGUGAAGAAGGCCUUCGGGUUGUAAAGCCCUUUUGUUGGGAAAGAAAUCUUUCAGGCUAAUACCCUGGGAGGAUGACGGUACCCAAAGAAUAAGCACCGGCUAACUUCGUG